CACUACCAGUAUGUCUGGAAAGAGGGCUCUAUCAGGAGAGGGGGGAGCCAGGCACCCAGCACAUCCCAGCUCUCCUUGUAUUACUGCUUCCGGGCCAUUUUUCCCCCAGGAAUGCAACUCCUCCUCCUCCUCCUUCACAAGCUUCAUUCUUCCUCUGUUUCUCAGCUACUGAGAGCUCCCUCCCGUCCCCUCGGGCUAAAUGCUCAGCCUGAUCAAYGUGCUCCCGGCUGAGUUCUGGUGUUAAUCAACGAGGCGCCUGGAGGUAAAUGCCCCUGGGGAGAGACAGCAAGCGGCAUUAGACGUUCCUGCUGGCAACAGUUGUGUCUCGGCGCUAGCUGUGCACGUGGCUCUGUGCCUGGCCAGUUCCCCAUUUCUCUGUGUCAGUGUGAUUACUGGUGUAAAAAGAUAAUUGAUACGUAGAAAGUCCCGGCUGGCACAGGGAGAGAAGCGACUUCCUUUAGAGGGAGGACACAUUUAAGGCUAAGCAUAAAUGUGGCGAGGCCUGUGCUGUGUGUGCUGGCUCCGGUUGCCGUGGCCGCUCGGGAGACRGCCAUCCUGCCUUUCUUGGCGAAAGAGGAGACAGAAACGCAUAGGCGGAUGCUGCAUGCUCUCUGAACACACAUAUGCUCCUUCAAAAGGUUUUGCUUSAUUAUUUGCAGUCGGAAAUUACAGCUGAUUGCUGUGCUCCCGGGGGAACGGGGACCACCCCAGCUGUGCUGGCUGACCGCUCCGCACCAAUGCCGGCGACAUACCCACGGUAGCCUCUGCGCCUGGGAAGGUGGCCAUCACUGCAUUGAUUGCUAUUGCGUGUGUGGAUCUAGCCGAUGUUUCUUGAAAUCUCCUGCUCUGAACUUGUUGUACCUAUCCAGUCACUGCAUGUGGUGCCAGCAGCAAGACAGUUUUACUUAUAUUCCCAUCCUGAGUGGUCUCCAUGACAGUCAACAUAUUCCAUCGGGACUCAAGGCUCACAGGAAAACUGAAGUGAAGUCCCCCGCUCCGUGUCAUGUUGCCCUACCUGUGCCCAAAGCGUGAUGGCUGCAAGGCAUAGGAAGUCGGAAAGCAUCCCCUGUCCCCGUGCAGCGAGGUGCCAGCUGUGCAGGUGACACCUCUAGAGCACAAAGAGCCAUUUCCAAAGCAGCCUCUGGCAGUGGGUCUGCCUGAGGAGCUGGUGCACAGGCAGGUACAAAUCCCCAGCUGGGGUCACUGCUGUGAUCGGUUUCAGAGCAGGCAGCUCCCAACAAGCUCUGGCAGCUUCUCAAAAUGAGAAAACAUGGUCUCUGUUUAAUUAUGGGUUUGUAAGCAGGCCUUAGUGGCCUCCUGCACAGAGCCCGCUUUUCCCCUCGUGCAUGGAUGGUGUGGGCUAAGAUCAGGUUAUGGAUGUUUCUCUGCAUCUGGACAACAAACUUUAGUUGUGCCUGCGUCUUGGCUGUCCAAAGCUGCACGCUCUCACACAGCGUAUGCCCCUAAGCACAAUCUCCUUGAACAAGCGGAGCAAUAGGUGCUUUGCAGCGAGACUCCUGCCCUYGCCGAAGGUUCGGUCCCAGACAGGCUGCUGGCAGCAGUUGCAAAAGAAGGGCUUUUAAUGGUGAGAGCGUCAUGGAGGAGAGGGGCCAUCUGUCAGAUCCCCAGCCACUAACGUGGGCAAGGAGGCUACAGUGGAGGCAGACUGCUUCUUGGCUUAAUUCUGCUGGAGUUCUUAUCCCAAGGGUGAUGCUGGACUCAAGCCAAGAUAUGUGGAGCUCAGCAUAAUGCUGGCUUGCAUGCUGACCACAUCAGUCGCAAAUUAAGUACAAGCUUUUCUGUAUGCUGCCUAUAAUUGUUUAAUUUAAUGAUAUUGCUUAAAACGUGGCAUAUAUGACGCUCUGAUUUAUACCCAGUUUUCUCCCCUCUUCGAAGGAACUACCCAAUUUCCUGAAAACUGAAGCCUGAAAAACACGAUGUGUAAUAGAGUGCAAUUUUAUAAUACAGACUCUUACUGCAAUGUGCAAAUAUAAAUGUAGUCAUUCAUUCCUGAGAUAUUUUCUAUAUGUGCUGGAUUCUCAAAACCACUUUAUAUACUGAAGUUUAGUAAUGUGCAGUCUGGUUCCACCACUGUCAGGCAACAAAUAAACUCCGAGAACUGAAGCA
RNAcentral lists this long non-coding RNA (2127 nucleotides) under Dromaius novaehollandiae (emu). RNAcentral describes it as "lncRNA (ENSDNVG00000016248.1)". Lineage: Eukaryota; Metazoa; Chordata; Aves; Casuariiformes; Dromaiidae. The record is from RNAcentral.